Molecule: ribosomal RNA, 253 nt
Filed under: uncultured bacterium
Lineage: Bacteria
Description: partial 16S ribosomal RNA
Rfam family: Bacterial small subunit ribosomal RNA
Source: RNAcentral
UACGAAGGGGGCUAGCGUUGCUCGGAAUGACUGGGCGUAAAGGGCGCGUAGGCGGAUGGUACAGUCAGAUGUGAAAUUCCCGGGCUUAACCUGGGGGCUGCAUUUGAUACGUAUUGUCUUGAGUUCGGAAGAGGGUCGUGGAAUUUCCAGUGUAGAGGUGAAAUGCGUAGAUAUUGGAAAGAACACCGGUGGCGAAGGCGGCGACCUGGUCCGACACUGACGCUGAGGCGCGAAAGCGUGGGGAGCAAACAGG